UACGUAGGGGGCAAGCGUUGUCCGGAUUUAUUGGGCGUAAAGAGCGUGUAGGCGGCCAGGUAGGUCCGUUGUGAAAACUCGAGGCUCAACCUCGAGACGUCGGCGGAAACCCUCUGGCUAGAGUCCGGAAGAGGAGAGUGGAAUUCCUGGUGUAGCGGUGAAAUGCGCAGAUAUCAGGAAGAACACCCGUGGCGAAGGCGGCUCUCUGGGACGGUACUGACGCUGAGGCGCGAAAGCUAGGGGAGCAAACGGG
This 253-nucleotide ribosomal RNA is filed under the name uncultured bacterium. Its description in RNAcentral is "partial 16S ribosomal RNA". It matches the Rfam family "Bacterial small subunit ribosomal RNA", at positions 524 to 776 of the family's 1533-position model. The record is from RNAcentral.